This is a long non-coding RNA of Ostrinia nubilalis (European corn borer), 367 nucleotides long. RefSeq lists it as uncharacterized. The record is from RefSeq and is a predicted model, not a curated record. The transcript is spliced from 2 exons. NCBI's taxonomy places the organism in Eukaryota, Metazoa, Arthropoda, Insecta, Lepidoptera, Crambidae.
AUUGAUGGCUUGCAAAUAUUAUCCGAACACACAUCUCUAUGUCCGAACGGUUCUGCACUAUAAAGUGCACGGGUGCGCCGGCGCCGCCACACACCGUCACGCUGCGUCGGCUUGCACCUGUGUAUCGAGUACUUCAGUUUUUGCAAGAAUAAACAAGAUGCCUUGCGGAGGUUGUGGAGACAAUUGCAAAUGCACAGCAUCGCAGUGCUGCCAGAACUGCAAAUGUGACUCUUCGUGCAACUGCGCUGCCAAGAAGUCGACCUGCAGCGGCGACUCCUGCGCAGCCCCCAAAAAGUAGGGGAUAAUGGCUCAAAUACAACUGUAUGAUAGUUAUGUAUUUAGUGUUUAGGACAACAAAAGAGACACA